Non-coding RNA from Acanthosepion pharaonis, 109 nucleotides. The record is from the annotation of a GenBank genome assembly. NCBI's taxonomy places the organism in Eukaryota, Metazoa, Mollusca, Cephalopoda, Sepiida, Sepiidae.
UGGCCGCAUCACGUUGAAACAUCGGAUUCCGUACGAUCACGUAAGUUAAGCAAUGUCGAGCGUGGUUAAUACCUAGGUGGGUGACUGCUUUGGAAUACGAGGUGCCAUA